ACAAUUUAACAGGGGUGCUGAGCAAUCGGCUGAGAAGAAGGGAAUUGGCCCUUCUAACCCUUAAACCUGAUCCGGGUAAUGCCGGCGUAGGGAGAAUGUCUUGGCAUUUU
This 110-nucleotide non-coding RNA is filed under the name Leadbettera azotonutricia. Its description in RNAcentral is "Treponema azotonutricium TPP sequence". It matches the Rfam family "TPP riboswitch aptamer (THI element)". From Rfam's summary of the family: Vitamin B(1) in its active form thiamin pyrophosphate (TPP) is an essential coenzyme that is synthesised by coupling of pyrimidine and thiazole moieties in bacteria. The previously detected thiamin-regulatory element, thi box was extended, resulting in a new, highly conserved RNA secondary structure, the THI element, which is widely distributed in eubacteria and also occurs in some archaea. Analysis of operon structures identified a large number of new candidate thiamin-regulated genes, mostly transporters, in various prokaryotic organisms. RNAcentral also lists the same sequence under 1 other name. The record is from RNAcentral. Lineage: Bacteria; Pseudomonadati; Spirochaetota; Spirochaetia; Treponematales; Breznakiellaceae.